UGGGGAAUUUUGGACAAUGGGCGCAAGCCUGAUCCAGCAAUGCCGCGUGCAGGAAGAAGGCCUUCGGGUUGUAAACUGCUUUUGUCAGGGAAGAAAUCCUCUGGGUUAAUACCUCGGGGGGAUGACGGUACCUGAAGAAUAAGCACCGGCUAACUACGUGCCAGCAGCCGCGGUAAUACGUAGGGUGCGAGCGUUAAUCGGAAUUACUGGGCGUAAAGCGUGCGCAGGCGGUUGUGCAAGACAGGUGUGAAAUCCCCCGGGCUUAAACCUGGGAACUGCACUUGUGACUGCACGGCUAGAGUACGGUAGAGGGGGAUGGAAUUCCGCGUGUAGCAGUGAAAUGCGUAGAUAUGCGGAAGGAACACCGAUGGCGAAGGCAAUCCCCUGGACCUGUACUGACGCUCAUGCACGAAAGCGUGGGGAGCAAACAGGAUUAGAUACCCUGGUAGUCCACGCCCUAAACGGUGUCAACUGGUUGUUGGACGGCUUGCUGUUCAGUAACGAAGCUAACGCGUGAAGUUGACCGCCUGGGGAGUACGGCCGCAAGGUUGAAACUCAAAUGAAUUGACGGGGUCAUAGC
RNAcentral lists this ribosomal RNA (580 nucleotides) under uncultured bacterium. RNAcentral describes it as "partial 16S ribosomal RNA". It matches the Rfam family "Bacterial small subunit ribosomal RNA", at positions 355 to 925 of the family's 1533-position model. The record is from RNAcentral.